CCUUGUACACACCGCCCGUCACACCAUGGGGAGUGGGUUCUGCCAGAAGUAGUUAGCCUAACCGCAAGGAGGGCGAUUACCACGGCAGGGUUCGUGACUGGGGUG
Molecule: ribosomal RNA, 105 nt
Filed under: uncultured bacterium
Lineage: Bacteria
Description: partial 16S ribosomal RNA
Rfam family: Bacterial small subunit ribosomal RNA
Source: RNAcentral